Molecule: ribosomal RNA, 253 nt
Filed under: uncultured bacterium
Lineage: Bacteria
Description: partial 16S ribosomal RNA
Rfam family: Bacterial small subunit ribosomal RNA
Source: RNAcentral
UACGUAGGGUGCAGGCGUUAAUCGGAAUUACUGGGCGUAAAGCGUGCGCAGGCGGUCUGUUAAGAGAGAUGUGAAAUCCCCGGGCUUAACCUGGGAACUGCGCUUGUAACUGGCAAGCUAGAGUGUGGCAGAGGGGGGUGGAAUUCCACGUGUAGCAGUGAAAUGCGUAGAGAUGUGGAGGAACACCGAUGGCGAAGGCAGCCCCCUGGGCUAACACUGACGCUCAUGCACGAAAGCGUGGGGAGCAAACAGG